RNAcentral lists this ribosomal RNA (497 nucleotides) under uncultured bacterium. RNAcentral's name for it is "partial 16S ribosomal RNA". It matches the Rfam family "Bacterial small subunit ribosomal RNA", at positions 28 to 507 of the family's 1533-position model. The record is from RNAcentral.
GAUGAACGCUGGCGGCGUGCCUAAUACAUGCAAGUCGAGCGAACAGACGAGGAGCUUGCUCCUCUGACGUUAGCGGCGGACGGGUGAGUAACACGUGGAUAACCUACCUAUAAGACUGGGAUAACUUCGGGAAACCGGAGCUAAUACCGGAUAAUAUAUUGAACCGCAUGGUUCAAUAGUGAAAGACGGUUUUGCUGUCACUUAUAGAUGGAUCCGCGCCGCAUUAGCUAGUUGGUAAGGUAACGGCUUACCAAGGCGACGAUGCGUAGCCGACCUGAGAGGGUGAUCGGCCACACUGGAACUGAGACACGGUCCAGACUCCUACGGGAGGCAGCAGUAGGGAAUCUUCCGCAAUGGGCGAAAGCUUGACGGAGCAACGCCGCGUGAGUGAUGAAGUUCUUCGGAUCGUAAAACUCUGUUAUUAGGGAAGAACAAAUGUGUAAGUAACUAUGCACGUCUUGACGGUACCUAAUCAGAAAGCCACGGCUAACUACGUG